GCUACCUUUAUUUGCUUUAGUAUAUGUCUAGGUUUGGAAUAGUUUCAUUUAUCUCUUAAUUAAGCAUGGUGCUUAGUUUAGGAAUAAUGAUCUUACUUCCAAGGGAUUUUAAAUUAAACAUGGUGCUUAGGUUAAAAUGCCCUUCUAAAUCAAAUUAGACAUGGUGUCUAGGUUGAUUUUUGAGCCGAUAGUAUGCUAUAGUAGAUAUGGGAUAUUUUGUUGGACUAACCCCUGCAGGAAAACUUUAAACCCGGGAAGUCCUGAGAUACAAACUCAUUGAUGAUGAAGAAAGUGACACAUGAAGUUUAACAAUUUGCACAAGAAGGACAUAGCUCAUUCAUCAUAAAGAGAUGAUCCAUGGAGGGUGCCACAAACACGAUGCACAACCGCUAAGAAAGGAAAGCUUCCACAAGGUGAUACUAUACCAUCACUCUUCAAGUAAGGUAACAUCUUAAGGUACGCGACUAUCACUUUCAUAAGCUUCUCCUUGGUUCUGGCAUACACAUGAAUAAAAGAGACAAACAUGUAUGAUUUGUAGCUCCAAAUUCACCAACCCAAUUAAUUCAGCAUGUUUAGUCCUUUAAUCUUUGUUCUUAGUAAUAGCUUCGUGAUCCCACACUCUUAAUCAUAUAAGCUAAAAUGUUGCACAUUCAAUCUUUGGAAGAUAUAAACAAAACAUAAAUAUAGAUAGAUUAUCUUUCCAUUAGGUUGAGCCAUCUGAUCUGACAAAUGUUUUAAAUACUACACUCAUGAUCUUAUGAUCCAUCAACUUUGUCUUGCUCACUAUGGUUAAGGUUAGAGAAGAACAAAUACACUUUUGGUUCUGUUGGUGUUUUCCACCAACAGGGCCCAUGCACUUGAUCUCUGCCUUGUCUCUAUGAAUAGGUACACUUCAAGCAAAACAUGGAGGAGUUUUACAACUCCCAGCCUCCACCAAGUGAAGGACCUAGAUCUAUGAGCACAAACACACUGAGCAGGAUAUUGCCAACACCGCACUUCGAACUACUGGGCAAUCGAAGAACAUGGGUGACACCGUAUCAAGAGGUGCAGACGUCAAGGUCCACACCUAAUCAAAUAAUGCACUUAAAGGAUGAAGAUGGUGGAAAGUCUUGUCCAGAAGACUUAAAACAUUGGAUCCUUAUCGGAAGAGGUCAACAACGUCGACUCAAGUCACCUUUCUUGAUCAAGAAGGACGACCCUGGUGUUCCAAGCAUCGAGUGCACAAUCAAUGGAUACUCUUUUUAGAAGACACACUACGACACCGGAUCUAACGACAACAUAAUGGCCGUAGUCACUUAUCAGCUCUUGCAUGGAACCAUGCCCCUACCUCCUAUAUACAUUCAGCUCGAGAUGAUUUUCAGGUCAUUGACAUGGGAGAAGACGAGUACGAUCUACCUACCAUCCUUGGACGACCGUUCCUCAAACACUAUCAAAGCCAUCAUCUAUAUUGGAACCGGAGAAGUCCACAUGCACUUCCCCUCUGAGAAGGUACGCCACUACUUUAAUGAUUCUAACUAUAUAGUUGAAGACUCUAAGCAGGUCAGUACAAGAAGAAGACAACACAACCGUAACUAGAGGAGGCAAAUCAUCAAGGACGGAUGGGUAGACUACGAAUGAGAAGUGAUAAGGUCUGAUGACAUACAGCUUGAACAGAACUGUCCUGAGGAGACUGUAGCACCGAGUCAGGUGUGGAGAGAGAAGAUAGUUACACACGAAGAAGAGGCACCACCGGAAUCACCGACUACGCCACCUAGCGAAUCCCAGGACGACUGAAAACAGAAGGAGUCCCAUUCGGAGGACUUAAAAAUACCGAACGCCUUGCCAAGAGGUGAACUUGGUAGUUAUCCUUUUCCAUUCAAUAGUUUGCUUAGUUAACCAGGUUCAUGCUAUCUUGAAAAGAAAAUAAAAAUGUUAAAAAAAUAGUAAGCCCCAUGUGAGUAUGCUCAUGGCAUAAAACCCAUAAGUACAUUCACUGUGGUGGCAUAAAAAUAAAAUAAAUAAGUUUUCAUCUUACAAUAAAAAUAUAUAAAAAAAUAAUAAUAAUAAGUGCAUGAUCCUGCUAAAUAAGUAAUAAUUAUUGAGGAGGCUCAACAUGAUAAAUGCUAGAUAUUUAUGCUAACACUUAACUAGUUCCACAAAGCUUUGUUGUCUAUUUGAGCUCUACAGAAUUUAAGAAUCAAGAAGACUAGCAGACAGAGGACAUUCUAAUCGCUGUCAGAAUGCUGCUGACUUUCAAAUACACCUCUGCCACCAGCUAGCUACAUCAGAAGAAAUUACGUCAAAAUCCAGCUUGGGGGAGAGCAACCCCAUUUAUCCAGCUAAGUGUUUCUACUCGCAUUUAUACUUUACUCAAAUAAUAAAAGAUGCAUAAUCAUGAAAACUCAAAUAAAGAUUUUGUGCUUUUAUAUAUAUAUAUUUUUGCUUAGUAUGCUAAAUAAAUAAAGUUUGCUAUGAACCCUCAUGAUAAACUCUCACAUGGAAAUGAUGAAUAGUUGCUCUACCAUGACUAGUUCUUAAAAUUGAAAUCUCUCUCAAGUUUAGGCAUGAUUGUUAUGAAGUAAGAUUUGCUCUAAACCUGAACUUGUGGGAGGACUACCUGAUCAAAAGUCUAAGUUGUUAACGGAUAUGAUAUGGGAAGGUUGAGCUGCUGUUUAUCUAUUCCUAGAGAUGCUAGAAUUCUAGAGAAUUUUAUAUUUGAAAAAUCUUUAAAAUAUCACAUGAUGAGUUCCUGUAUGAUGAGAGUUUAAGAUCCUACCACAGCCAUAUAAACAUGCUUGCUAGACUUUGAGCCACACAUUUACUUUUUACUGCUUAUGAGCAUUGAGUGUGGUCAAGCUGUGUAGACCCUUAGGAGCUUGUCAUGUGGUUAAAAUCAAGAUUCACUUGCACGUUCACUCAUACAUGCUACUUCUACUCCGGAAGUACCAUCCACAUAUAUCCACUCAUUUCCAUCUCGAGAUUCACCCAAAAAUUAUUCUACUCCUAAUCUGGGAGAGAAUAGUCAAAAAUAUUUUCCUAUCCCUGUUAUUCCCUGUGAAAUAAAUGCUCGAGUUAUCUUGGUUACUACCACUUGCUAUAUUAUUUAAGGAGAUGAGUGCUCUAAAAAAAAGAGGAAAAAUAUGAGGAAAUAAAAAGGGGCAAGUGCCCGGAACCUCGAAGAAAGAAAAAGUGAGACGAGAGGUAAAAAUGGACAAGUGUCCGACAGUAGAAUUAGGGCUACAAGAUACCCACCUGAGAGGAAAGAAAAAGAAAAUGUAGAGCAUCUCAUUCUCCUCAAAAAGCUUCAAAGUGCAAGAAAGGUAUGUAUCCCCUAAAAAGAGCAAAAAGUAGAAUUAGACUUUCACCAUUGUUAUCACCAUCAUCACCAUACACCAUUCAUUCACCACACAUGCACAUCUUGAUUUGACUUAUUGACUUGUUUCUUUGGAUCCAUAGUUUGACUAUGCAAUAAAUGUCUUGUAAGUAUGUAUUAGCUGUCUCCCACCUAUGAGCUCCCGAUAUCAAAACCUUACUAGAGUAGGGUGAGAGAGAAGGCAAUAUCACUAUGCCUCAUACCACAAAUACUACAUACUUUGAGAGAAGGCAUAUAUCAUUACUGCCCUGGUAAGGAUCCAGAAAUACCAUAAAAGAGAGAUUUGAGAGAGUCAUAUAAGGAAUCUCUGAGUUUUAUUUGAAAAUCUGCAAAAACUCCAGAGCUAUAGCUAAUCAAGAAUACGAGACAUGGCGCUUGACUUGACCGUUCUAUCUUUUAACUGCUCAAGACACAAGUGACGGUUACAAGCCCCAUGGUGAAAGGUAAAAUGAGUAAGUUUUAAGUCUUGACAGUUUAUUCUAACUAAGAGAUG
RNAcentral lists this long non-coding RNA (3845 nucleotides) under Sorghum bicolor (sorghum). RNAcentral describes it as "long non-coding RNA (SBIC_LNC017529)". The record is from RNAcentral. Lineage: Eukaryota; Viridiplantae; Streptophyta; Magnoliopsida; Poales; Poaceae.